Molecule: small nuclear RNA, 104 nt
Organism: Sorex araneus (European shrew)
Lineage: Eukaryota; Metazoa; Chordata; Mammalia; Eulipotyphla; Soricidae
Source: RefSeq, a predicted model, not a curated record
UUGCUUAGGUAGCACAUAGACUAAAAUUGGAAUGAUACAGAGAAGACUAGCAUGGCCCUUAUGCAAGGAUGACACGCAAAUAUAUAUACACAUAAUAUAUUAUA